AGCCUGCCCAGUGACCCAGUUCAACGGCCGCGGUAUCCUAACCGUGCGAAGGUAGCGUAAUCACUUGUUCUUUAAAUGAGGACUAGUAUGAAUGGCAUCACGAAGGUUAUACUGUCUCCUUUUUCUAAUCAAUGAAACUAAUCCCCCCGUGAAGAAGCGGGGAUUAAAAUAUAAGACGAGAAGACCCUAUGGAGCUUCAAACUAUAUAACACUGGCUUUAAUCCAUUUAUUCCACAGGGUUCUCAUGUUAACUCUAGCCUUUUGAUUAUUAGUUUUGGGUUGGGGUGACCGCGGAGCAAAAAUUAUCCUCCAUGAUGAACAGAACUACUCUUGAGCCAAAAGCCACAACUUUAAGCACCAACAAACUGACAUAAAUUGACCCAAUAUCUUGAGCAACGAACCAAGUUACCCUAGGGAUAACAGCGCAAUCCACCCAAGAGCCCCUAUCGACAGGUGGGUUUACGACCUCGAUGUUGGAUCAGGGUAUCCCAGUGGUGCAGCCGC
This 504-nucleotide ribosomal RNA is filed under the name Dendropsophus leucophyllatus (Bereis' treefrog). RNAcentral's name for it is "partial 16S ribosomal RNA". It matches the Rfam family "Bacterial large subunit ribosomal RNA", at positions 1856 to 2562 of the family's 2925-position model. The record is from RNAcentral. Lineage: Eukaryota; Metazoa; Chordata; Amphibia; Anura; Hylidae.